This 445-nucleotide ribosomal RNA is filed under the name uncultured bacterium. RNAcentral's name for it is "SSU rRNA". It matches the Rfam family "Bacterial small subunit ribosomal RNA", at positions 26 to 518 of the family's 1533-position model. The record is from RNAcentral.
AGGAUGAACGCUGGCGGCGUGCCUAAGACAUGCAAGUCGAGUGGGUUUAGACCCACGGCGAACGGGUGAGUAAUACCUAGGAACUUUUUUCAAGUCGAGGAUAUCCUUCCGAAAGGAAGUGCAAUACUCGAUGUGGACGCAAGUCUAAAGUCGCAAGACGCUUGAAGCAAGGCCUGGGCACCAUCAGCUAGUUGGCGAGGUAAUGGCUCACCAAGGCUACGAUGGGUAGCUGGUCUGAGAGGACGAUCAGCCACACUGGGACUGAGACACGGCCCAGACUCCUACGGGAGGCAGCAGUGGGGAAUCUUGCGCAAUGCGCGAAAAGCGUGACGCAGCAACGCCGCGUGGGGGAAGAAGGCCUUAGGGUUGUAAAAGUCCUUUUAACGGGGAAGAUAAUGACGGUACCCGUAGAAUAAGCCCCGGCUAACUUCGUGCCAGCAGCCGC